AAAAUUCUUCAUGCUAACAUUUGAAACAACUUCAAAUUUCCCUGUUUAAAUAUCAACUACGAAAACAGAUCCAUGGCAAAUCGAUAGGCAUAACCAUAUCACACUGACAGAACUAUCAAAGUCGACUUAUCUCAAUUCAAAACUAAAUACCCUUAAGAAUGACAAUGCAGCUUCUCAUAUUUAAAUGGAAACCUAACUGGACAACCAUAAGCUGUUUGUGCACCACCUCAUCCACGGAGACCAACCACUUCAACUAUCUCCCCAUCAAAACGAUGACAAGAUGCAGAAAAAUUAGGAGUGGAGCCAUGCUAGAUUAAUAAUCACAUACUACCUUCUGUCCUAAGCCUUUUAGGAGCACCACCAUAGUUCUCUCCACUGCUUAAUCUUGUAGUUGUGGCUCCACUGCUUGUUUUUUUGCUGAUAUCAAGCUGUACUCUAACAUCGGCCAGUGACGGAUCCACUCCCACAGAUGCUAGAGUCUGGUUUAUGAUAUUAAGCAACCUUUGACUAUAUGCAUGUGAUCUUCCAACUGCUUCACCAUCGAAUUUCACUUCUUCUUGAUCAUUUCUGCCAUAGCUCAGAACCUCCGACUCAAUUGUAUCUCGUUUAUCUGGCCAACAUAAUGAUUGUGUCUGAGAAGGGUGCUCAGCAUCAGGAGAUGGUUCAACAGAUGCAUUUUCAAAUAAAUUAGGUUGCAGUGGCAUGUUAAAGGCAAUUGCCUCAUCCGCUGCCAUAUGAGAAUCGUGUGUUGCUCUAUAUAAAGCAGCAGCAGUCAAGUUCGGUUCUACAAAGCUCUGGACACUUGCAAGCAAUGUUGGGUUAAUGACAAUAUCAUCCUCAUGAGUAGAGCCGUUUCUGAUUAUUUGAGAAUGUUCAACAGAGCCUUCCACGGGCCCAGGAGUACUUCUCCAUGGCAGCAACUUCGAGGGUUCUGCACUCCAUCCUUGGUUGGUUCCCUCAUACAUCUGUAAUUUCUCUUGCAAAAACUGGAUAUAUUGUAUAACCUCUAACAUGAAUGACGCUCGGUCUCUCUUCUGAUCAUUUUGUGGUAUGAGAUCUCUUAGAGUCUGAAAUCUCUCAUUAAUCUUGAUCCUCCUCCGCUGUUCUGUCUCAGAAUGCUUCGAACGAUGAGCACUUACCUUCCCAUCAUUGCUCUUCCCUUCUAAUUUCCCCUUUUGAGAAGAGCCAUCGGGAGUUCUAGAUGAAAACUCUUCAUCGUCUUCUUCGUCCUCUUCAUGAUGAUUCUUCACAGUCCUCACCAUUUCAAAAUCUGAAACCAGCUAACAAAAUUCAGUCGAAAUAACAACUUAUUAG
Molecule: unclassified non-coding RNA, 1314 nt
Filed under: Hevea brasiliensis (rubber tree)
Lineage: Eukaryota; Viridiplantae; Streptophyta; Magnoliopsida; Malpighiales; Euphorbiaceae
Source: RNAcentral